GUUGACCUCGGAUCAGGUGGGGAUACCCGCUGAACUUAAGCAUAUCAAUAAGCGGAGGAAAAGAAACCAACAGGGAUUGCCCUAGUAACGGCGAGUGAAGCGGCAACA
This 108-nucleotide ribosomal RNA is filed under the name Readerielliopsis guyanensis. RNAcentral's name for it is "Readeriella guyanensis partial 28S ribosomal RNA". It matches the Rfam family "Eukaryotic large subunit ribosomal RNA", at positions 1 to 106 of the family's 3401-position model. Lineage: Eukaryota; Fungi; Ascomycota; Dothideomycetes; Capnodiales; Readerielliopsidaceae. The record is from RNAcentral.